AACGUAGGUACCGAGCGUUAUCCGGAUUUACUGGGCGUAAAGCGCGUUCAGGCGGUUUGGCAAGUCGGGCAUGAAAUCUCUCGGCUCAACCGGGAGAGGUUGUCCGAUACUUCCAGACUUGAGGGCAGUAGAGGGUGGUGGAAUUCCGGGUGUAGUGGUGAAAUGCGUAGAUAUCCGGAGGAACACCAGUGGCGAAAGCGGCCACCUGGACUGCACCUGACGCUGACACGCGAAAGCUAGGGGAGCAAACGGG
Molecule: ribosomal RNA, 253 nt
Filed under: uncultured bacterium
Lineage: Bacteria
Description: partial 16S ribosomal RNA
Rfam family: Bacterial small subunit ribosomal RNA
Source: RNAcentral